Molecule: long non-coding RNA, 689 nt
Organism: Rosa rugosa (rugosa rose)
Lineage: Eukaryota; Viridiplantae; Streptophyta; Magnoliopsida; Rosales; Rosaceae
Exons: 6
Source: RefSeq, a predicted model, not a curated record
GGUUUUCUAAGUUCUAUGCAAAGAAAUGUGUGCAUUAUUCUUCUGCCGCUGUUCCUGUGUACGUUGUUUGGCAUUAUCUCAGUCUCUUAUUCCUAUUCAGUUUUUGUUGGAUCUUUUGGACUGCUUGCUUUUGGUGCAAAGAGUUUUCUGAUCGGUGGGUUACAUUUUGAUAAACGGUGUCAGAUCUAUGCAUUUGUUUUUAUGCAGCUCAAAGAGAGAAGAUAAGUGAAGCUAAUCAAGGCUCCAAACAAGGACGGCAGCUGCAGUGUCAGAAAAUGCCAUAGUUCUGAGUUUUAAAUCGAGGGUUUAAAGCAGAACAGCAGCUAUAGUGUCAAAGCUCCAGAGUUUAAACUCAAGAGUCAUUACUGGAUACUUACUAGCAGGAUCUGCCAUUGGACCCAGAGGCUUGAAUUUUGGCCUUGGAUUACAAGUUGUGAAAUAUUUGGCUACCAAAUAUGAAGAGCUAGGGUGUGAAGUGAAAUGGAUGGGCAAGCCUGAUAAGGUGAUCUAGUCACAUUGGUCUGGUUACCGCUGUUAACUUCACUUCAUGUGAACCUUUAGCUUAAUACAUAUUUCUCUUGCACUUGACUACCAAGAUGAAUUUUGAGCAAGGCUACUUUUUGCUUUGAAGCAAAGUUUGGUGUAGAAAUUUUCUAGAUUGUUGCUCAUAUGUUUCUAGGCUAUCCUUC